AAAAAUAGUAAAAAAUAAAUACCCCCCGUAUUUUUAUCAUCUUAGCACAAUAACUGUCUUUUAGAGUAUGUUUUCUUAUGCAUUUUUCCUCUGUGGUUACAAACAUGACAGUAGGUAAGCUUGGUCAGACGUUGGAGUUGGGGCACCCAUAGGAAUUCCUUUCUUUGUGACACUGAAAUGUAGAUACUAGAAUUUAAAUUUAUAAUUUCUUUCUGAGUCUGCUCUAACCUACCAGUGAACCAGCCAUUCAUGCUUGGCUGAUGUGCUAUGAAUUCUUAUGAAGGGUGAAGGGAAUGGUAUCGCGGGAGCUGAUGUAGAAAGAGUAUCAGCCUAUUGGGACACCUACUCCAGGAUUCCAGAUGGUACUGGGCAAGGCCAGAGAGUGUCCACAGAGUAGCUGGCAGUGGAAUUUCCCAGGGUCUUAGAGAAAUGUGCAUGGAAAACAGUGCCACCGUCAGCCAUUGAAGAUACGUAGAGUAAAAACUUUAAAUAGACAUUUAUGUAAAAAAUAAGAGAGAAAAAUGUGAGAUAUAAGGGUAAAUCCAGCAGGCCCAGUAUAUGACAGACGUUCUAGAAAAAAGAAGAGAUAUGGCAGAAAAAAAAUUACCAAAGACAUAAAAGGAAACAUCCAAAAUUAGAAGACAGAAGAAAGACAAAAGUAUAAAGAUAAAAAGAACGCAUAAAGUUCAAAACAGAGCAUGAGAAAAAAAAUGACUAAUAUGGACAUAUAUUCCCAUGAGAUUCAGUUACUUCUAGGAAAAAAGACAAUCCCAAUAUCAAUAGUUUUUUUAAAAAUAUAGCUCUAUAACACUGGCAAUUCAACUCACACAAAAUAAUUUAAGCUUCAUAAUGAAAACAAGUUAAGGGAUGUUUUACCAAAUCUUUAAAUCUUAUUCUCUAUGUCUAGUCCUUAUGAUGGAGCAUGAUAAUGUUAGAAAAAAAAAUGUAUACAUGUAUGUGUAACUGGGUCACCUUGCUGUACAGUAGAAAAUUGAAAGAACUCUGUAAACCAGCUAUAAUGGAAAAAAUAAAAAUCAU
This 1038-nucleotide long non-coding RNA is filed under the name Sus scrofa (pig). RNAcentral's name for it is "lncRNA (ENSSSCG00000053356.1)". Lineage: Eukaryota; Metazoa; Chordata; Mammalia; Artiodactyla; Suidae. The record is from RNAcentral.